GGGCAGGCGCGGGGGGCGGCCUCCAACUUUCCUUGUCCCGGGAACUGCGGCCGCCCGAGGGGACGCCCGCUUUUGGCAGGGAGGAAUACACGGGGAGCGGGGGCUGUGAGGACGGACCUCACGCUUUGGGGCCGCCUAGUAGCUCGAGGAAGUGCUUGCCUGACACGGGUACAGAGCCUUCGGUUGUUGCCCGGGGCUUUUCCCACGGCGACCUUUCCUGUUUUUCGGCACAAUUGGCUUUGGUCGUGGAUCCUGUUACUGAGUCUUGCCUAUGCUUCAAAAUGAAAGUGAGGAAGAAGAAUCCCUGAAAGUAUUAAUUUGAACAAUAAUUAUUGCUUAUAGGGGGUGAAAGAAGCUGGAAGUGAGUACAUAUUGAGAUUUGGGAAGAGCUCUUCCUGUGGUCAGGUAAUGAAUUAAAUACCCUGAAUAUUACUAAAUGAACCUGUGCAUGUAGCAUUCCAUGAAGAGAUAUGAUAUGUGUUACAUGGUACAGUAUGUCUAGUAAUGGAUCCAUUUAAAGCAAAUCAGGGUUGUUUGUUUUUUUUUAAAUACCAGUGUUGGAUUUUUG
RNAcentral lists this long non-coding RNA (568 nucleotides) under Zonotrichia albicollis (white-throated sparrow). RNAcentral describes it as "lncRNA (ENSZALG00000013566.1)". Lineage: Eukaryota; Metazoa; Chordata; Aves; Passeriformes; Passerellidae. The record is from RNAcentral.